RNAcentral lists this unclassified non-coding RNA (262 nucleotides) under Hevea brasiliensis (rubber tree). Lineage: Eukaryota; Viridiplantae; Streptophyta; Magnoliopsida; Malpighiales; Euphorbiaceae. The record is from RNAcentral.
AUGAAAGCUAGUGAUGAUCAGAGCUCAAGUUUUCCCAUGCAGUAAUCUUGAUUGAUUCCUGUGGUCCCUGGAAAAACAUUAUGGCCCUCAAAUUUUCAAAAGUCGUGCAUUCACCGUUACCAUUUUGGAGCUCCAUCUACUGUUCCCUGUGGAUUGAGUAGCUAGUUGUUGGUCUUUGCUAAUGGCUGAAGCACUGUAAUCUGUAGCUAAAAAUGAGAAAAAUGCAUCAAGUCGGUCAAGAUAAAACCAGGAGUUGAAAUGG